AACCAUGGACACAAAUAGGCAUUCAGGCUAUUCCCCAAGAACCGUUAACUAUGUAAGGCAGAACCACUAGUAGCUUAUUAGAACAUGCCUUGGCCAGGUGCUCAUAGGAGUACACAUUGCCACAGGGGUUUCCUGGGUUGACAAUGACCAUGGCAACAGUGUUCUUGUCAGCAAGAGCUUGGAUGCCUUCAAUGUCAACCUCCCAGUCUUUCUCAGGUAGAAGAUCGAAGUAUCGUGCUUCCAUGCCAUUGAAAACAGCGCGUGCCUCAUAGAAUAAGUAGCCAGGCCUUGAAACCAAGAUGUUGGCACCAGGACGAGCUAACACAGAGCAGAUUAUCUCAAUUGCUUGAGCACAGCCACUUGUGAGGUAGACAUCAUCAGGUGACAAUGUAUAUGGCAAAUCACAGGAUAAGAACUGAGCAAUGGACCUGAAAUUUAAGGUUUUAAGCCACCGUAAGGUCACCAUAUAUGUCUAAUGUUGUGAAGAACAUAGAUGUAUAAUGGAAUUCUGAUUAAUUGGAACAAAUUAAGUGUUGUGUAGUUUGUACUUCAAAGAAAAUAACCAUGAAUGUCUGUUGGGAGAAAAUUUCAGUGUCCAAUCUCCUAGGCAUCAAGAGACUGAACACAUAGCAUGUAGCACAUGUGCAGGAUUCAGUCAAUAUUUUUUAUGAACACAAACAUGUACCACUUAUCAAAUAACCAAAAAACACGGAAACACGAAAUGAAAAAUGUCAUGACUUCACAAUCUAAGGAAGUGAAUCUUAUAGUUGGAACAUGAACUAAGGUGCAAAGCAAUAUUUGCCCUUGUAGUGUUGAUGUUAGUGGGUAUCACAUAAAGUUCGCGGAGACAAUAUUGGCAGACACCAGACACAAUGUUCAGUGGUUCUGAAACAGAGAAUGUUGAUUUCAGCAAUAAUGAAUUAAUGUCGUACCAAUCUUUUUUCUGAAAUAAAGUGGGGAGGCAAACAACCUUUCCACAGCAUCUGUCAAUAGUUAUUCCCUUGUAUGUUUUUGUGGUAUAUAUUGUACCAUUCCUACCCGGUGAGUGUUUGCUAUCACAGCAGGUUGCCCAAGACAAUAUUGGCAGAUGUAAGGUUCAGUGAUUCCCAAACAGAGCAUACAUUGUGUUAACUAGAACUGGCUAUUGAAAUCAUGCUGACUUCAGCAAUAAUGAAUUAACAGUGUACAAUCUCUUUUCCUUUCCGAAAUAAGGUGAAGAAGUCAAAGGGCCUUUCCACAGCACCAGUCCUAUAGCAAUUCACUUGUCAGUUUGCUGUGUGUGAUCUCACAGAUAGUGCUCUAGUUUUAUCAGGAAAUUGAAAUACACCAGUACCAACAAUUUUCUUAGUCAAUCAUGUACCAUUCACCAUGAUGAAAAAUGAAAAAUUUCUAUUGUAAAAUGCCAGCAACAGUUUACACGUCAUAUUAUUUUAGCAUCAAGCAGUUGGAUUUGCAUCUAAAAAUAACAUAAGCAAGGGAAACAAAUGUGUAGUUUGCACUGAAACAACGUAACCAUAAAUUAAAUGUGUCGGUAGAAAACUCCAGUGUUCAAGCUCAUAGGCAUAAAGAGACUGAACACAUAGCAGGAUAGCACAGGUGCAUGAUUCAGUUAUUAUUUCUUAUGACGGUGAGCCUGUGACUGUCCUGUAACUGAUGAGAUAACCCCCCCGGAGAAAAAAUUCACGGAAACAUGAAAUGAAAAAUGUCAUGAUUCAUAAUAAUCUAAGGAAGUGAAUCUUAUAGUUGGGGAAAACGAUAUUUCCACUUGUAUUGUUGUUGUUAGUGGUUAUCACAGCAAGUUCACGGAAACAAUAUUUGCAGACAUAAGGUUCAGUGAUUCACAAACAGAGCAUAUUUACUUGAGCAAUAAUGAAUUAAGGCUUAAGGUCUACGAAUCUUUUUCUGAAAUAAGGUGGGUGAGUCAAAGUGUCAAACAGCCUUUCCACAGCACCAGUCAACUGUUUGCUUUGACAGCAAGUUGGCCAAGACAAUACUGGCAGAUGUAAUGUUCAGUGAUUCCCAAACAGAGCACAGACUGUGUUAACUAGAACUGGCUAUUAAAAUCAGGCUGACUCCAGCAAUAAUGAAUUAAUGGUGUACAUUCUCUUUUCUGAAAUAAGGUGGGGAAGUCAAAGGGCAUUUCCACAGCACCAGUCCAAUAGUUAUUCACUUGUCAGUUCGCUGUGUAUGAGCUCACAACAAUGUUUUGAGUUUUAUCUGGGAAAUUGAGAUACACCAGUACUAACAAUUUUCUUAGUGAAUCACAUACCAUUCCCAACGGUGAAAAAUGAAAAAAUUAUAUUGUGAAAUGCAGGCUUCAGCAUCUAGCAGCCGGAUAGAAAUAACUUAAGCAAAGGAAGCAAUAGAGACAGAGGAGAAGCCAAAGCCGGCCAGCCGGCUUGAACAGCGGCCAAGAAGUCAGUCACCUCACCUCCGUGCGGGCUCAAGGCCGACGCAAGUGGAGUAGGAGUUGUACUCCCCGGACUGGAGCGCGCCGGCGACGGCGUCCACGGCCUCCGGCGCCGUCCGGAAGCACGGGAACGCCGACGGGUCGCCGUGGCCCAUCGGGACCACCGGCCGCCCGCCGCCGUCGGCCUCUACCAUCCCGGCCUUGACCCUGCCCAGCACGCCGCGCACCGAGAGCGCCGUCAGGCCCAGCAGGGUCUCGUUGGGCUCGAAGUUCCACGAGGCCGGGACAGACGUCGCCACCCCAUUGCCGGCGCUCUUCUCCAUCGCUCGCGGCGCGGUGGUUGCUCUGGGGCGCUGCGACUGCGACAGAGGUUUGUUUGGCUUUGGCCUUGUUUACUCCCCAGAAAAUUUUGCAAAAUUUUUCACAUUCCCUGUCACAUCGAAUCUUUAGACGCAUGCAUGGAGUAUUAAAUAUAGACGAAAAUAAAAACUAAUUGCACAGUUUGGUCGAAAUUGACGAGACGAAUCUUUUGAGCCUAGUUAGUCCAUGAUUGGACAAUAUUUAUCAAAUACAAACGAAAAUGCUACAGUGUCCAUUUCCCAAAAUUUUUCGGAACUAAACAAGGCCUUUGUUGUCGGGCGGCUUGGCCACUGCGAGCUCAGGAGUGAUGCGGGGCAGUCGUGUGAACUCUGCCGGUCUACUUAUAGUACACAAAAGAGUUUAAUAAAAAUACGAUGUCAGAAAUUUAGACCGAGGCCUUGUUUAGUUCAAACAAAAACAAAAAACUUUUCAAGAUUCAACGUCACAUCGAAUCUUACGGCACAUACAUGAAGCAUUAAAUAUAGUUAAAAAUAAAAACUAAUUACACAGUUUGUCUGUAAAUCACGAAAUUAAUCUUUUGAGUAUAGUUAGUCUAUAAUUAGACAAUAUUUACCACAAAUAAACGAAAGUGCUACAGUAAACAAGUUCCGAGGGCGUUUGGUUGGAAAUCAGUUCUGAAUAUGAUUCUCCGGAGAAUCACGCCAAACAUGUUACGACUACCAUAGGAGCGAACUGCUUCUGACACAUACAUGCAUUUAACACCGCUUAGAGUUAAAUUCGAUAGAAGUGACUUAAAAGGCAAAAAAGUUCAGAGCAUUGGUACAUGUGAGAAUUCAACUUUUUUAAAUAACUUUUAGUUAAUUACCAACUUUUAUAAUAACAUACACUCAAAAGCCUCAACUGUUUUAGCCGAGACAUCUUUGGGGCUAUUUAGUUGGUAGUAAAUUUUUUUAGUUUUGACUACUAUAUAACACUUUCAUUUGUAUUUGACAAUUAUUGUCUAAUCAUAGACUAACUAGACUCAAAAGAUUCAUCUUGUAAAUUAAAGACGAACUAUGCAAUUAAUUAUUUUUAUCUAUAUAUAAUGCUUUAUGUGUAUGCCACAAAAACUUUGCAAAAUUUUUGGGAGAACUAAACAUGUAGGGGCUCCUGAAUUGACCUGACUGAAUUGACUACAUGUGGUUUAGUACCGAUUUUCUUCCAUCUCCUCUCAUAUUUCUACAAGAAUCUAGAUAUCCCUACUGAAGGCUAAAGCUAAUAAUGAAUUAAGUCACUCCAUAUAAUUUUAUAGCAUAAAUUCAUGAGCGUUCGUAUUAAGUCAAUGACUUAAACCUAAGUAGGUAGGAUGCACUACCAGGAACCUAACAAACUUAGUUAUGCUCAGUUUACUCAAACAUGGGGCAUUAACUAAGGGUUAACUGGAAAAUUCUUCCAUGUCAAAAAGAAAAACUCAAACAAUUCUUAUAUUUUGGGAUAAAAUCAAUAGCUAGUUAGUACUUCGUCCGUUUCAAAUUAUAAGUCACUUUAACUUUGUUUAGUUUAUAUAUUUUUCUGUAUAUCUAAUAUAUUAUUAUAUCUAGAUGCAUAGUAUGAUAGAUAUAUAUAAAAAAGUUAAAAUAACUAAUAAUUUGGAACGGAAGAAGUACAUAGUAUAUUUGGAUCAUCAAAUGAAAGUUAGUACAGGUCAUAGUCGACGGAAAGCGACUAAAUAUUUAACAGGUGAUGCCAUCUUGGAGCUAUCGGAGAGGCGAAAACCAACGAUUAUGGUGACCUCAUGAAUAUUCAUGGAAUGACAUCACUCGAUUUUAUACUAGCUAUUGGAUAGUGAGCUAAGAAAUAACAAAUUAUCCUAUUCUCUUACAUAAAGGAAAAACAAUAUAAGGAGCCCAAAAAUGGUGGACCAUCCCAUCCAAAAACUAACAACGCAUAACAUAAUUUGAGUGGUUGUUGAAUGGCACCAUAUCCCAUGGCUUGGCGGCCAAGUUAUUUGCAAGCUAAUUGGUGUGAAACAUGUUUUGCUGAAAGCACGAGGAAGCUGCUAUAUCUGGUCUCAUUUUUCAUCUCUUUCAUUCUCCUAAUGCACAAACGUAAACCUGCAACGACAUCAUGUCUCUUUCAUCCUCUCCAUCCCAAAUUAUAAGAUGUUUGAAUUUUUUUUAUCCCAAGUUUAACCACUCAUCUUAUUAAAAAAAUCUAUACAAAUAUAGUCAAAUUUAGGUAAUACUUGUAGAACUUUUAUUAAUAAACCAAGCCCCGACAAAAAAAAUUGUAGAAAUUUUUGAAUAAAAUGAAUAGUUAAAUGUUAUGUCAAAAAAGUCAAACAUCUUAUAAUUUGGAAUGGAUUAAGUAUGUCGGAAGCAUUGGACAUGGUUAUCAAUUUGUGUUUGUCUUUGCUACUACUAAUUAUAUAAAAGUAUUAAGGGUAUGGCAAACGGACGAUGAUGUGUGGCAAGUGGACAAAAGGUAAAUUUGCCCUUAACUUGACGACAAUAUUACCAACAUGCGUCCACGUCACAGAGAGACACUGCGUGCGCGCUGAAUUGGAUGCGCAUUGCACAGGGGCCCGAAAGUUCAGUACAGAAAAAGUGGAGUUAUUAAGCUCGCUUAGUUCUUGUUAAAAGUGUGGAGAAAACAAAAACUUCAUUUGUUUGGUCGUCGAUUUCAGAUAAAGGCUAUCCUCCAGCAUACCUGCACAAAGUUUAUAAUUAGCAGGAGAUGCCUUGGGUUAAGCUAGUAACUUAGAAUGUUAUCUUUCGCCACAAGGAAUACACGCGUCACAGACAGGAUUUUUGUUUGGUCAUAGUAUACGCCUACUACCGUACGUGAAGAAAGUACCUUUGUCAUAGAAGGUGCGUCUCUAAACCUCUUUGAUGACGAAUCAAAGAAAAAUGCUAUUCAUCAGUUUCGUCACUAAACAUGAUGCUUCUAAUUAGUUGUCAACAAAAACAUCACAGCACGUUGAAUAGGCCGGGAGGCACCACAUCGUCAUGAUAUCUGGUGAAUCUGGCGAGCUGGUGUGCUCAAGUUGCCUUACCUCUUCUUAGCCAGCUUUAUUCCGCUACUUUUUUUUGCUUUAAGUUAGAUCUUUUUUUAGUGGUGUGUUGGCCUAUUGGUAAAACAUUGUAAUAAUUGACCUGAUUCUAUCUGUCGAUAGAUGAAACCGGAUUAUUUAAAAAAAAAGGCAUCAGCCAACCAAAUCAUGUUGCCAACCUCAUGCUCAGCUUGGCCAUAUAUGGCCACCGUACCCCGCACCCAUGCCUGAGCAUACGACAGCCCUAUGCUCGGCUCACCCAGCCACCACAUCCGACCAGUUGUAGCAACCAGGCCGGCCGGCCCUCACUUGAUGUGGGCAACACUUGGCCCUUCUACUCGGGGAAAAGCCUGUCCCCAACUAUAUUUCCCAUGGGAUGACACUUCAUUUCAGACUUUUAAAUUUGAACUGUUCGUAUUCGUCUCUUAAUACUAACUAGUAUAGUGCACAUGCUAACGCCAUGGCUUCAUUUCAAAGAUGUACUUGAAAACAACCGGGUAACCAUAUUUUUUGAUAGUUUAAGUCAUACAUGAUUGUUUAUGACCAUGUAUAUUAUCCAGAAAACACUUAAGCGUCUAAACACAACAUAUAUAGUUCAUCAAUUAAAGUUUAACUAAAUCAAUUUCUUUUACCCUGGAAGUCUAAUGACAAAGUGCAUCAGGCACGUCAGGGCAUUAAGCCAUGCCAAAGCAAUUGGACUUUCACUAAAAGAAGAUAUGUUUUAGCUUUGCAUUACAAAACAUGAGAAAGAAGAGAGGGCAUUCUUUUUGUGAUAUAUAAAUUGCAGAUGCCAUUUUUAAACGUAUCAGGUCGUAUGUCCGAGGAAUGCUGAGAAGGCUUUGCACCUGUCAACAGUGGAAGGUCGCAAAUUACACAAGGUCAAUUCACACGCAUCAGCUCCUCAUUAGUUAAUGAAUACCAGAAGCAUAAGACAUGUAUAAAAAAAAUUAAAGCAAAAAACUAAAGAACACAAGUCUAGAAUAAUUUAUUUAUAUUGACGCAAAUAAAAAUAAAUAAAACAUGGAGCGCAAAAAAUAAAAUUAUUUGAGUAUACCCAACAUUAAUCAACAAUUUGGGACGUCUUUAUAAACAUUAUUCUUGGUGUUAUUCCCCCUUGGAAUAUAUGGUUUAGUCAAACUCUUGAUCUUGACACACCCCUCGACAAUGCAACAUACCUAUUUAAUGUAAUAAAUCUUUAUAAUUCUCUUUAUAAUUUUGAUCAAACUUUAAAUGCUUUGAUUUUCCAAGAUUCUUAGAAUAACUUAUAAUUUGGAAUGGAGGGAGUAUCUUGCAAACCUGAAAUUCAAAUUGACAUUCAUUUUCAGAAAUAGCAGCAGAAUAUAUGUAGGAGUAUUAAUGAAUUAAAAGCAUAAUUACCAACCUCUACAGGAAGAUAAAUUGGCUUCUGCUCACUGCCAACAACCCAACACCGAUGCAUGGGAGAGGUUAAAACCUAAUAUUUUAAGGAUCUAAGAAACAUUUAAUUAGAAGUGCUGAUUUUUUUAAUGAAAGAUUAGAAGUGCGCCUUACCAUAAUCAGGUUGAGUCAAGUUUGUGUCCACGACAUCUAUCUUUUGGAUGUUCUGAACAAAGUCAUUCAGCAGCAGAGAUUGAACGAAAACUGAUGAGAACACAUAUACAAUAGAAAAAUUACAGCACGUUACAAGCUCUAAAAUGCAGUCAAAACAUGGAAUAUAAUUACCAUGCAAAGAACAUCCAGCAGGCCAAGAACAUCCGCCAGUCCUUGGCGCCUCCUCCCAUGCUUCCUACGGCCGGAGUGGCCGAGUGUGAUCGCCGCAGCAAGAGGAGUCUCGAACUCUCGAUGGGCAGCUGCACGGCAGGUGGGGCAGAGAGAGUGGACGUAUGCCAAGGCAGACAGUGAUCUCGGUGGCGGACGGCGAACAUUGCGUAGCCGAUAGGGCGGGACCGGUUGUACGCUGGACUGGACAACGGCUAAGGUGGAGAGGGCGAACGGCAAUCUCACUCGUCGGACUGCACGGCGGUUGCGGACGGCAAUCUCGCUAGAUUGCACGGUGGCUGCACUGCAGCAGGAGACGGUGAUCUCGUUGGCGCGAGGCAGAGGGCGGACGGUGAUCUUGAUGAACUGCAUGGCGGCUGUAGGCACAGCUGCACUGCCCUAGGUCAGUAGGAGACGGCAAUCUCGCUGGCGGACGUCGCGUAGCCGAGGCAGACCACGAUUUCGCUGUUCUCGCGCGGAUGUCGCGCGUGGGCCGAGAUGGGUUUCCUUGUGAGAGGCGGAUGGUUGGGCGAUGACAAGGACCAUACACGCGAUUCUAAUCGUCGGAUUUGAGUGAGUAAGAAGAGAGAAAGAUAAGAAGCAAUCUGAGUGUACGUGGUUGUUUCUGUGGGUACAUUUUGUUUGGUGAGUGGAGGAGAGUUAUCUCAGCGGGAGAGGUUUUUGGGUGUAGCCUUAGUGCACUCACAAUGCAAGACUCUAUCACAGAGUCCAAGACAAUUAACUACAUAUUAUUUAUGGUAUUUUGCUGAUGUGUCAGCAUAUUUAUUGAAGAAAGAGGUAGAAAAAAUAAGACUCCAAGUCCACAUUAUUCGAGAUAAUAAAUAACUGUAGACUCUAUGAUAGAGUCUGCAUUGUGAGUGCCCUUAGCAAUGUUUAUGUUGGUGCAUUAGUAAGGUAGAUCAGUUGUAUGAACUACUAUUAAUGCAGCUUGAAUUGAUGUGAUGUCAAAUAAAGAUACAUACUGCAUGGAUUAUUUGUCCAAGGGGAGCGAUUCACUACUACACAAAUAAUUUCGCGAGUCACUAUCCUUUUAUCCACCUUAGUUAAUCGGUGGCAAGGCUAUAAAUGAUUACAUCGAAAAAUAAUUUAUAAAUUUGCCAAUUAACUCGGAUGAAGACAAACUCUUUAUCAAAACUUUAGCAUUCGAUGAGAUUUAUAAUUUCGUAAUUGAAAAGUUUUUUAAUUGAAAAUGUUUAGGGUCCUAAAAUAUUGUUGUAAAUUCAAAGAGUUUGAAAUUUGAAAUUAUCAAACAAUCUCGGAUGUUGAUAUGGUUUAUACAAAAGUUAUAGUUCUGAACUUUUAGUUGAGAAGUUUUUAAUGUUUGGAGUCUCAAAUACGUGUUCGAUGGUUAUAUAUUUAAAGUUAAAAUUCCUAAACACAAAUGUUAACAUAUAGUUAAUAUCAAAGUUGUAAUGGCCGACCUGAGCUACAUAUUGAAAAAGUUUUUAUUUAAAGUCAUCUAGAGUCUUAAAUAUAUGUUUAAAAUUUCAUAUGUUUUAGGACUUAAUUUUUUUUGAAAUCAAACAAUCUCAGAUGGAGGCAUAUUCUGUACCAAAGUUAUAGUACUUAAUAAGAUUUAAAAAUUUAUAGUUUUUUUAUUUAAGUUCAUUUAGUAGCCAAUAUAUCAAAUAUGAGAUUACAAAAUAUUGAUAUAAAAUAGUAUCGUAUUACAUUGACAUGAAAAAGUGGUGAAGUGGUAAACAACGAGGUAAUGCUAAAUGUUAGGUCGCGGGUUCAAAUCCUAGAAUCCACUAGAAACAUGUGCGUGGCGUUGCCACACCUACAUCGUCUGAUUUUGGCCAGUGUAGAAUUUGGUGUUCAAUUCGCUAGCUAUUUGAUCUCUAGGAAUUUUUCAAUUCGCUAGCUAUUUGAUCUUUAGGAAGAAUGUUAUUGGAUCUCAAUGUUAAUUUGCAAAUAGCUAGCUUAUGAAGUCGCUAGCUAUUGUGGAGAGAAUUGUAAGAGAGUUAUUUCUAGAAGAUCUUGCUAGAUUAGCUAUUUAUGAGUCGCUAGCUAUUUGAUCUCUUUUCUCGAUAGCCAAUGAGAGUGCUACUUUUUUAUUAUUUUUAUACUUCAUCUCGCUAGCUAUUUGUAAAGUGCUAUUGAGAGCCAAUAUAAUUCCUCCUAGCUAGCUAUUUGAUAACCAUUGCGGAUGGCCUAAGAGCCUUUCUAAAAUCUAUUCUAUAAUAAAUCAAUAUUUGGAAGUCAUUUAAGUGAAAAACAUUUUAUAUAUUUUUUGUAUCUUGUGUGCAGUCUAGAAUCAUCCUCGUUAUCUACCUUUGGCUAGUGAGAAAUCUGGAAUAGAAAAUGUUUAUAUUUGAUAUCCAAUUGAAGAGGUUGUUUGUGAGUAUUUUUUUUUCACUAUAAUCUUUUGUUCACAUAAAUUAGGAAAAAUAUAAGAUACUCUUAGCAGAUUGCUCGCCGAGCCGUGUGUCGAAUGUCGUUGUCCUUAAGUUGAGACUUAGGUUGGUAAAGGUAGAAAAAAUGGAUAUUUGAGAAAAUAUGAACCCGUGUUGGGGAGUUAAAAAUGGUACGCACAAUAAUGCUAAAUAAUUUACUGCCUCACCUAAAUAACUUUAUCGGACACAAAAUAAAUCAUACGAAUGUUAGUACCCCAUCCAGAUUUAGUUUAGGAGCCAGCAGAGCACACUUGAUAGUGGAUGGAUUAAACUUGUUAAUUCCAUUCCGAUUUUACAUUUGGAAAGAUAUAUUUCGGAACUGUCUGCUCGAGUGUACUAUAUAUUCUAGAUUUGUUAUUUUAAAGUAUUUAUUUAUAUAUGAAUAUUUUAUUGAUUUUUUUUUUGAGAAUAUGAAUAUUUUAUUGAUGAAAGAGAAGACAUAAACAUUGGGCUGGCCCCACUGGUGCAAGUUGGGCCUUUGCCCUAACUAGGUACCGUACCUGUGUAAGUUUUUGUUCAAUCAUGCAUGAUUAACAGCGGGCACGGAGAGACAUCUCUCCGACACCACCAGCUCUCUGUCGUCUCGUUCUCUCAUCAGUCUCUCUCCCACGACGGCAGCCCAGCGUGGGUAGGGUGCGGUGCCCUCGGCCACCGGCGCGGCGUGUGCCUUAUGGAGGUUUUGGGUCCACGACGAAACGGGCAGGGAUCCGAACCGAUCCAAGAUCUAACGGUCCACAUCACAAGUUGACUCGAUCCAGCGGCUAACAGGUUAACGGAUGACGUGGCCAUAAGCCUGUUUUUGGUGCAGGAUUCGUUUAUAUAGAUAGAUAGAUAGAUUGGUUUGAGGCACUUUUUAGAUAUGAAUCCCCUAGCCCUCAAAACUAGAUGAGAUGUUCCAUCAAGUAGAGGUCUUAAUUUGAAAGCUAUUGCUAAAGUUGCUCGAAUAGAAACAAGCAAAUAUACAUACUUUCUCUAUCUUGUUAUGUAGUGUAUUCUUGAUAUUCUAAGGCAAAAGAAGAGAAAAUACAAAAGACACAUGCCCUUACUACAUUUCGUGACGUUAUUAUAUAAGUGUGAUUAAUGAAGAACAGUUGAUAAAUGGCAAGAAAUGAUAUAAUACUUACUGAAUUUGCACUACUAUUUAAUGCAGAACUAUCUCUUGCUCCAUCCAUAUAUAUUUAGGCAUAAUUUUUUAAUGGUUGAACGCUUUACUGGACGAAGGGAUUAUAGGGUUUAUUUUUUUGUGCCAUAUCGUUAUAAUCCCAAUAAUGACUUCCCAUAUCUGUAGUUUGAGAUUCAACUUGGUUCUAAAAUUCGUAACUAUAUGGAAGACAAACUUUAUUUAUAUAUGAAAAUUUAGGAUUCAACUAGCAAAAAUGCCCGUGCGUUGCAACGGGAGAAAAAAAAACAUCAAAUCUAUAUCUAUAUCUCUUUUACCUAAUUAUAUAAUAAUAAUAAUAAUAAUAAUAAUAAUAAUAAUAAUAAUAAUAAUAAUAAUAAUAAUAAUAAUAAUAAUAAUAAUAAUAAUAAUAAUAAUAAUAAUAAUAAUAAUAAUAAUAAUAAUAAUAAUACGCGGUGGAGCCAGUGGGACAUGCAAGGGGGCAUUGGUGGAAUAGACCUGGGAUGGUCGUUCCUCACGCCCCGUCUCAAGGCGGGGCCUGGAGCCGGCUAGCGGGAGCAUCAAGUCGAAGCCGGUCUGUGGCGAGAGAGCGGACGAGAAUUAUUCCAGACUAAAAUUUUGGCUCACAAAUAUACCCGUGCAUUGCAAUGGGAGAAAAUAUAUAAAAAUAUAUAUCGAUAGAUUUUUAUUUUAUGAUUUAUUUAUUGAUGUCCAUGACAACCAUAUAAUAUAAAUUGGUAUUGGUAAUAAUAUGACAAUGCUCUAUUAAAUCUAUAUUAAAUUAUUAAAGUAGAAAUUUGACAGAUUUUCUCUCUCAUUGUGAAGGCAUAAAAAUUUACAUGUGAGAGUCUGAGAACCUUUCACGUGAUGGAUUUCACAUGGCUACAUCUACAUGGAUAAAUCUUACUCCAUAGUCCAUUAUUCAUUCUAAAUAUUCGUACAAAUCAAAUUUUUAUCUUAGAAUAUGUGAUCAUGUAAGUGUGAGUUCGUCACCAAGCAGUUGACAUAUGAUAGCAGAGUUCACCAAAUUAGUGAAGACCAAUAAAAUAAAGAAUCAACUUUGCAAAUAAGGGGGAAAAAGGCAAAAGUAUCCCUCCGUCCAGAAGCUCCUGGCCCAUACACUGAUUCAUAACAAUAGCAGAGCAUCGUCAUGUCCUCCUAGUCUGUCUCAGGUUUGGGUCAGCCCGUAGGAACGUACAAAAACAAUGGAAGUAGAUUUGGGCCAGUUUAGCAUUGAGCUUUUACCCUAGUCCAUGUAAGAAAGUAAAUCAGAUUCAACUCGAUGCUAUACGUCCAUAGACUAAAUCAGAUUUAACUCUUGCCAUACGUCCACAGCCUUUACCGCCGCCUCUCCUACCUGAGUACCUUCUGUCCUCUUUACUUCAACCAGCAAACCACCAUGUCAGGACUAGGAGAGGCAAACAACCUCUGUUCGUAGCUUCACGCCACCUCCUCACGCUAGCGAGCCUUUGCACUGCGGCCUCCAGCGCUCCCUGCGCUAGCCUCUGCUUUUGCGCUGCAUGUACCGCUCCCGAGGAAGGGGUGCCUUGGCCGAUGAGUGCAAAGGCGGCGGCACCGGUGGACCUGGCUUAUGGCGCGAGCUCUCUUGGCGGCCUGGCCUGGGGGCACGACAUUGGCUGAUGUCCUCUUCGAUUCUCUCUGAUUUUAUGAUUCGAAUUUUUCUCCAAUUUCCUCUUCCAUCGAUUCGUGUAUGGAUGUAGAAGGUAUUGAUUUUGGUGCUUGCUGUUGAGGUCAGCAGACCGGCGUUAAUUUUGUGCUCGACGUUUUAUCUAUAUAUAUGGUUGAUGUCCUUUUUUUGUACGAGUUUUCAUAUCAUGAUAUUUGACUUUGUUUUGGACUCGAUGUAGAAUCUGGAUUGGUUUGGUUCGUUGCUGGGUAUGUGUCAUGCCCGAGUUGGAUACCAGAUAGCUAUGAUCUUUAGUUUGCUGUGGCCUCGAAUCAAUUGGAUAUGUGGAGGGAUUUGGUCUUUCAGAGGAUGCUUUCGGACUACAGAGGGGGAUUAGUCAGGAGGCCAGACGAAAUUAGAUCCAGACGAAAUAAUUUUGUCUCUUUAAGAAUUGUAAUAUAUACAGACAGAGAUAUUAUAUAUAUCUAUAUGGACAUGUCGGACGGAACGGUCCGGCAGACUGAAAUUUUCAUCUUUAAAUAUUAGGGAUCAGAUAAGAUCUUGAAGUCAUUUAUUUGCUAAAAGGUUGUCUUAAAAUUGUAAAAAACAAGGAUCAUGUUACGUGAAAGCACACAAGCCUCCGGCAACACGUCCCAUUUUUUUGAGUUUAUUCAAAUCUGCAAGCUAUUUAAUAGUGUUUUUCUCUUACAACAAAUCAGCAAACAUUAAUUUCUGUCAUGACUUUUCUGCCAAUUGAACAGAAUGUCAAGGAAAAAAAGUGUUUGCUAUUUUUUGUUUGUUUGACUACACAUUUGCAUUCUCUCUUCAUCCCUGCUGCCAAUGAUGAAUCGAAGACACAGUACUCGUCACUCGUCAGUAUUCAUGUAAUUUACAUUUUAUUUGCGGACUUGAAACACCCUGCGAUUCGUGCUUAAAACAAAAGGCGUUAUUAUGGCCAAACAGCAAAUUUUAGGCUUUGUUUAGUUCCUUCCAAAAAUCUAAAAUUUUUCAAGAUUCUCUGUCGCAUCGAAUCUUUGGACACAUGCAUUAAACACCAAAUAUAGAUAAAAAUAAAAACUAAUUACAUAGUUUAUCUAUAAUUUGCGAGACGAAUCUUUUAAGCCUAGUUAGUCUAUAAUUAGACAAUAUUUAUCACAUACAAACAAAAGUGCUACACAGUGGCUAUUUCCUAAAAAUUUUUAGAACUAAACAAGGCCUUAAUUAUGAAAUCACAAAAAUCUGCCAUACUUUAAACGGGCGUAGAUAGCUGGUACUACAAGGAUUGUACGCCUUAUUUAAAGGAGUCGCAGAUUGUUGUUGCCAUGAUUUUUGCACCAUAUUUAAAGGAGGCAUAGAUUGGUGCUACAAUGGUUUUACACCGUAUAUAUUUGCAGGCGCAAAUCAUUACUCAAAUUAUUAGUUACCAAAAUUUAACAAUUACUAGUUACCAAAAUACAAGUGUUUUUGCAUGUCUUCAUAGGACAACAGCCUCUCUAUAAAUACCAACACAUCAGAUGUCUUGGUUUAUACCUUGCACUCCAACAUACAUGCAUACAGGAUACAGCCAUGGCGUCGUUCCUCAAGAAACUUGCAGUGGUCGUCGGCUUCGCCAUGGCCUUGCUCGUCGCGUCAAAUGGCGAAGAAACUUCCUCAUUCGGUGAGAGUUUUCGCAGCUCAACGCAAAGUCUCUGAAAAGCAUAUAUAGCUCGCUAAUUGCUCUCUGAAUCGAUCUCCAAAUUAACAAAUAUAAACUACUUUGGAACUUUGCAGGCGGAUCAGCACUCUGUGAUUCGAGCACGGGUGUCACCUGCACGUCCGACGCGGGUUGCGUGACCAUCUGCAAGCAAAGGGCUGGGCAAAACUACGUCAAUGGCUACUGCUCCCCGGAGCCUAAUAAUGCCGUGGGCGGCGGCCGUUCAUGCGUGUGCGUCGAGAGGUGUGGUGCACAACCGACGCCGCUGGAGAAGCCGGCGACGGCGACGACGCCGGCAAGGAUGGGAAUGCUAGACUGAUUGUUUUUUUUUUUUUGUUAAGUGGAUCUGGACAUGAAUGGCUGAACGCCUUUGAUAUCAUCUCGAUCUGCUCUUGUGCAAUGUACCCAGUCCUAUUGUGGGAGCAAAUCGAUUCAUGCGGGUCAAAAGACGUUCGAGCUCGUUCGCUUGUGUGAAAAGACAUGACCUCGCUUAUUUGUUGCGAGAGAAAAACACUCGGAAUGGUUGGCAGAUUUGAUACAUAAAUUCAAGUAAAUAAGGGGGAUGGAUCGUUCAAAUUCCAAUCAAACAAUAGUGGUUUAGGUAAACUUAGAUUUGAUUCAUUUGGUUUUGGAUUGCAUAUUCAUCGCCACGUCAUCCGAAAUCAGUUGACUCUCGAUAAAAUAAAAUUAGUUAAAAAUCUAGAUAUUGUAUUGGAUGUCUAGAUGGGCUGGUUCUGUCCAAGAUCCUAAAUGGGCUGGUUCUAUCGUCCUUGUGCAUAAAUGAGUCAAGACUUGAAUAAAAAGAGAAGCCUAUAAGUUGUUAUACCAGCGGAAACCAUUCUCAAAAUCAAACCAUUAAGUUGAUCAGAAAUAACUGAAAGCAAGUCAAACCACUAGCUCCUAUGACCAAAUAAAAUGGUCCAACAUUCUAAAGGUGAAACUAAUAAGGGUCUCUCCAAUGGGUGGUUCUAAGGUGUUUUCAUACAAAAUAGGAGUCAGCUCUAUAAACUGUGUGGUUGAGUUUAUAUAGGAGUCAGCUCUGUGCAUUAAACCUAAUCCUAAGCAAAAGAAAAAUAUUUAAAAAUUCAACACCACACUCGUGGGUCUCUUCUAUGGAUCUAGAAUAUAAUUCUAUAAAUUAUAGCAAAUUUAUUUGAUCAUGUCACAUUUGUUGUGGGUCCCAUAUAAGUAUGAGGUUCAACUUGAUACAUUAGAGACCCCCCUAAUCCCUCUAGCCGUUACUACUACAGAAUUGACUUUCACUGCCGGUCCCAUCACUGCCGGUUUCCAAAAAACCAACAGUGAUAUUCAUGUCAUCCUUGCUGUUUUUAACCAUGGACCGAGUGAUAUUAGGUCAUAACUAUUGGUUUGUGGUUUGAACCGAAAGCGAUAGGCUGCACGAAAAACUUCAUAACUUUCUCAUAUGAUGUCUGAUGAAGACAAACUUUAUACCGAAGUUGUAGUACUUUUCGAGAUCUAGAACUUUGUCAGUUCAAACUUUUUGAUUUAAGGUUGUUAGGAUGUCCAAAUAUGUAUCACAAUAUUUUACAGAGUUAACAAAAUAAGUCUAUGCUCUAUCACAAGUGAGUGUGUAGUUGCAAAAAAGGAUCUUAGAUGAAAAAACAACCAAAAUAAAAGUUGUAAAUCUUAAAAAGUUAUGCAACUUUAUAGUUCACAACUUUUUAUUUAAAGUUGUUUUGAUGCUGAGUUAUUUGUUUCACAAGAUUUUGUAGAAGUUAACACCAAAGAACUCCAUUUGCUUUAUAGACAUAAGUGAGUGUGUAGUUAUAGUUAGUUAAGGAUCUCAAAUGAAGAAGCGGCCAAAACAUAAUUUGUAUAUCUCAAAAUAUUAUGUAAAGUUGUACUUGAUGACACAUACUUUCUGAUUUUUUAUCAAUUAUUAUCACUACCUGACCUAGAACUGGCAGUAUUCUUUUUGCUUUUUUCUUAUCACUUAUCACAGCCAGACCUAAAGCUAGAAGUUUUCAUUUUUAUUUUUAUCACUUAUCACUUAUCACGGUCAGCUCUAGGACCGGCAGUUCCCAUAUCACUGCACAAUCUGAAUCCGGCAGUGAUGGUCUAAUCCACCCGCGGUUUGGUUUUGAAGUAUAGAAUGACAUCCAUCCAAUACUACCUCUACUAUACCAGCAAAUUAACUUCGAUACGCAACACUUGUAUGGCAAUAGCUUGUAUAGUCAACUACUAUACAUGAAUCACUGUAUUUUGCGCGGUCCCCCGCGUACAAUUCUUCUGGUUGGGCCACUCCGGGGACGGGGAGAAGACGACAGCUGCAGCCUGGACAGGGCCAGAGGAUCCGGUGGUGGCAACACAGCAGUCGGUAUAGAGAACACCGCCGGCGAAGAAGACGAGCCGGUUUCGGUUUCAUCCCUCUUGUCUCUGCCGUCGCUGCUGCUACUGCUGCCUGGUCGUCGAGAUGGAACCGUAAAAUGUUUUGUAUGCCAGCCUGAAGCCCACAAGUAAGGAGUAACCUGCUGGUUUCAGAAUUUCAGUUCUUACCUUGUGCACAAGAUUCGCCCAGUGCAAUUUCCAGAUGCUUCUUCGUGGGCUGCAUGUUGUUUCUACAUAACAAAACAAUUCAUUAGUUUUCCUAAUACGUAUACUUACUCCGGCUUAGAUUUGAUCAUAUAUCUAAACAAGGUAUCAAGCACAAUCCGUCAUCAACCAUCGUCCAUAUAUAUCAGAUCUCUAUGAAUGAUAAGAAAAAGUAGUAUACUAGUUACUACUGCUCUACAGGCAUCUGUUGAUCAAAAGGAAAGCCAUGCCUUGCGGAUGAACAACUUAAAUUAAUCGUGCAAGCGAUCGAGGAACUCGAUGAAUGUGUUACCUGACGGCGAGGAACACGAGGCACUGUGCCCGGAGCUGCUUCAGCUGCUGCUCUGUGAACGUCGGCGACGAUUGCGAGGGAUGACUGGACGAAAGCAUGCCGGGCUUAUUAUUCUCUUAUUAGUAUAUCAUCAGAUGAAAGUGGAGGCGUUUAGUCCCGGUUUCUUCUCAGAUGUAGUAGUUAUAUAUGCAAUGGUCAUGGAAAUUGCCAUUGAUGCAUGAUUUGUCUAAUCUAGUUCGCAGCUAUCUGAUGGAGACAGGUAAUUAUAAUAUCACAGCACGAUUGAUGCCAUUUGUAAAUUGUUUACCUUCUCUCAGGCUUAUGCGCUGUCCAUUUUGUUUACCUUUCUCUCAGGUUUAUGCGCUGUCCCAUUUGUUUACCUUAGACCUCUCUGAACUUCUGAUGGCGCACGGCAGAGGAAUAUGUACGUGUAGCAGUAAACAUAAACAAGACAUUUUUUUCAUGACAAUUUUUUUUCAUGCAGAGGAGUGCAUCGAUGCAGACAAAAUGCAGGACAAGUGCAAGGAAACUAUGCAUGCGAACCAGAGAAUAUACUUCUUCACUAUGAACAGCAUAAGUAGUCUCGUCAGCAGCGCCAAAAGUUUCUCCGUCAAAAACUACCUACUUGAAAUGGACAGCGUUCACUGUCCCCUUAUGUAUACAGUGAACUAAAUGCUAUAGCAAACAAAUAUUUCGAAUGGUUUACUCCCUUGGAAAAAUGGUGUCAAUGAAAUUUAAACGUAUAGGAGUAAACUGAAAUGUUUAGAGACUGAGUUGAGAAAUGCCAUUCUCAUCCAUGUGUGAUGAAUCAUUGGCAAGAAGAUAAAUCGAUUUCUAGUUGAGUUUGUAUUUUAUAUAUGCUUGAUUAUGAUAAUGGCUAACCAAAGAUGCCAUGUUAUGUUGAAUGUGUUAUGCAACACCUCUCUUGGCUUCUGAAUGUGCAGGUGUUAGGUGCGGCAAGAAGGUCAACGACAAUGGAGAAGGUCAAGUGCGGAUUCCAUCCCGAACGGAUCGAAAGCGACCAUGGGUAGAUGAGUAGGCUUGCACUGAAGAAUCGAGAGGCAGAGGAUAGACCAUGGGACUGCUCACAUCGGGCAGAAGAAGAGCAACACGGUAUCAAAAAAGUCAAGGAGGAGGACGAUGACAUCGUGGCAUUUGACGGAGGCUGGACAUGCAUCUACUGAUGCACAUAUGUGAUGAAGGUGGAGUCAGUCAAGUCAAGAAAAAGGCAAAGGUGUCAACAAUGGCAGAGACAUUAGUUAGUCAUGUUGUCAUAAGUUUUAUCCUCAAUAAUGUAUAUUAUAGUUUUGUGCGCAGCAAAUCAGGGGGUAGCACACUUUACAUAGAUGUAUAUUGGCUCAAGUAUACAUGGAGUACACUAUGCCCACUCGAGAGUAGAUCUCUUAUGUUGUGUGGGAAAGGACCAUGGCGCUUAAGAGGGGAUAAAUUAGGCAACUUAAAAACUAUCUAACUAUGGCCUUUAUUUUUCUCCUAAGCAAAACCUAUACAACAAUUAAUUUACUUAGAGCAUCUCCAACAGUUUGGUAUAUGACUUGUUAAACUUCAAAAUUUGGCAAAACAUGUAAAAAACGUUCUCCAACAGUUUACUAAACUUGCUUGCCAUCUUGUCCCACUUGCUAUCCGUCGGAGCUGCACACGUAUAUUUGCACGCGCGUAUCCGGCUUGCCAUCGCUCGCCCGCGCUUCUCGGAGCUAGUUCCCGCGCGCAGUCGGAGAAUUCCACGGCGUCUAGAGUCGCGCCCGCACCAAAGAACGGAGCCGCCGCCGCGACCAACUCCCCGUCGUCGAGGGAACGAUCGCGGUAGGGAGAUCGCGGUAGGAAACAACGCAGUAGGGAGAUCGCCGCCGUCGCGGUUGUGAAGGAUCGAUCAUUGGAGAAGACGUUCCGCGCCGACGGCGAGCAGAAGCCGUUCGCGCAGGCCAAGCUGCAGCUGCAGAGCUUCCCCACCAUGCUCCUGUUCCCGAGCCGCACCGCCAGGCCCAUCAAGUACCCGUCGGAGAAGAGAGACGUCAACUCGCUCCUGUCCCCGAUCUGGUCCCGGCCACUGCAAUCAGGUAUCCUGCGUUAUCUUUUCCUCGUUGAUCUCCAUGCCUGCUCGAUCUAGUAGCUCGAGUUCGACCUCGUGUUCAGCUGUAGUUUAGGGUAGUCUGUUGUUUUUCUUUGUUGUCAUCACUUCAAGCGCUCCUUCAUAUCUAGCUUCGAUUGCGAGAUUGCCUGAUCCUUGGAACAUGGAGAUAUGCAUAUAUAGAUGAUAAUAUUCUGAAUUGUACUUUGUUGAAUUGAUCCAUGAAACUUUCUGAAUUGUACUGGAUGUCAAUAUUCUGAAUUGGUCCAUGAUACUAUUCUACAUUGUACUGCCAAUAUUCUGAGAAGCGUUCAGUUGAAAGCAAAAAUAUUUGGGAUAAUAUUUCAGAACAUUGUACCAUAAACGCCUUCAUCUCAUCUGUAACCUUCACAACCUCAACUGAAAGCUUAUGCAGAACACAAAAGAGCUGAUGUAGAAAAAAAAGAGCUGAAGCGCAGUUGCUGAAACAAGAAAAAGAAUUUAUGUUGGCUGACAUGAACGCCCUCAGCCCGACGCAGCUUGGAUUAAGUUGAUGCAGCAGGACAUUCAGUUGAACCUCUGAUGGCCUGCUAUUGCCUAACGCCGUGGUCAUCUUGUCGCUGAUGGACUGUACAGAACCUGCAGACUGAUAGGAAAUAGAAGAUUUGAUCCUGCAGACUGAUGGCCUGCGUUGGGGUACUGGUCAACAACCGAAUCUAGUGGGUUAUCCUCUUUUUUUUUAUUUGGCAAGUGAGAUAUAGCAAAUUGUUGGAGAUUGCCUCUUUUUAACUUGGUAAGUAAUUAUAGUAACUUGCUAAAACACAGGAUUUAGCAAGUGAGAAAUAGCAAACUAUUGGAGAUGCUCGAUGUGCAAGUAAGGUUUUGCUAGUUGUUGCUAUAUCUACAACAAGGGAGUUAUGCAACCUAAGUUCCAAUCCUAUCAACUAAGCUAGGAAAGUAAAGCACAUGACACAACCAAGAUAGCAAUAUAAAUGCAAAAACUAAAGAUGAUAUAGAGCUACAAACUUCCGUCGAUGACUUUGGUAUUUUUACCGAGGUAUUGAGAAGCGUGCAAGUUUCCACUAGUCCUCAUUGGAGUCUCUCACAAGGGCCAAGCUCCUAGUCAGGGAACUCCAUCGAUAGCUUCGGGUCUUCUCCACACGCAAGUGAAUCUCCGAUGUGCCUUCCGGCAAACCUCUCUGUCUUCACUAUCAAGCUUUGGGCCAAAACACCAUGGGCCUUGUUUCCUCUGAUACACGGUGGCGGCCACACCACAAAUGUGGUUGGUGUGGUCUCAUAAGACUACAAGCCCUACUGAGAACAAACAUGGUGCACGCAUGCACCUUUGUUCAAGAGGUAUGCUAAUCUCAAUCACUAGCAGCUAAGCCUAAUCCCAGAGCAAGUACAUAUGAUUAUGGUUUAACUAACCUAAGCACUUCGCAAAGCACCUACACUAAUCACCUAGUGAUCUUUAAGCCCUAUACAUGUGGAGAGCACAAAUGUGGUGUAGCAACACCCAUCUACCUUUCCCUUACUUCCUCUCUUCUCAGUUGGACGUUUGUUGGAAUCCUUUAUGUAGCCCCGAAUGGAGAACUAGCCAUUGGGGGGCAAAACACAGAAUUUCUGCAUAUGCACCAGUGCUACCAGUGCGUGCCACAUCUACAAGCUAUUGGUGCUGACAAUCUCACCGUUACAACACAAUGUUCACUCGUGUAUAUGGACGGUAUAUAUGACCUUUGGUCCUUUUCCAAAUGAUUUGCAGCUUCACUGGAACUGUCACAGGUGCAUAUGACUGGUGCACACAGGUGAUGGCUAGUGCCUUAAAGCUGAUUUCAGCAUGUUUUGCGAAGUCUCUAGAACCCAUAACCAGUGCAUAUGACCAGUGCACAUAGGUAUAGGAAUAUGAGCAGUGCCAAGUUCAUAACCAGUGCAUAUGACCAGUGCCAAGUUUGCAUAUACAUAUAGGCUUAGCUGGUUGGCAUGAGUUCACAAAGGCGGCCUAGCCUAGAUGGUCAGGUUCAUAUAUGCUAACAGGGACGAAGCCAUGAAAAAAUUUAGGGGGGGCUGAACAAAAGUUCUACAUCGACUUAGCUCUACUAUUACCCCUCGUAAUAGAAAAAAAUAUUAGAUUAAAGUAGUCUUAUAUUUAAAAUAUAUGAUGAAAUUUAUAAAAUAUAUCUAAAAAUAAAAUUCUCAGUUCACGCUACAUUAUAAAUUUGUGUCUAAAAUUAGAAGGAGAACACUAGGGAUUCCACUGGGCCAGUAGCGCCCCCCUAGCCCCACUGCUGGCUUCGUCGCUGUAUGCUAAGGUGGGUUUCGAAAUAGAGUUAGCUGGGUUUUAUAGAGGUUUUGUCAUUUUUGUUUGUUUGGCUUCUGCAUCACCCUGGCCUUCUUUCUGAGGUCAGUAGAUCCAUUGUGACUAUAUGAUCUUAGCAAUAACUAGAAGAGAGGGUCUUGUUGGUUUUUGGGACAUUGUCUAUUUAUCACUCAUUUGCUUGGCAAGAAACAUUCGAGGCUCCCAUCCACCCCCACCCCCACCCCCACCCCUCUAUUCAUCUGUUUUGGUCCUUCAAUUAGUAUUAGAGAUUGGGUAAGAAUUACAACCCUUAACUGACUUUGUGAUAUAUAGAAAGAUAAUUGUUUUGUCCAUAUGAGGAAAUCUUGCUUCAUGGAAGAUCUAGCCCACUGAAACUGGCUAAUUCGGUUUUGAUGCAGCAAGUUAUGUUUGAGUUGUAUUUCAAAACGAUCUGUAAUGGACAUCAACCCCCAUAGGAUAAGUCUACCACAACCUGACCAUAAAUAUAAAAGUGUCACAACCUUUCUCUUUUACUCUUUUUGCCGUAACGUAUCUUCUCGCUUCCAUUUGUUGUUCUAUUAGCUGGUUUAGGUUCCCCAACAUCUUCGUACCCUAACAUUGCCUACUUAUCUCAACUGUGUUUGACAGUAUUUUAGGUGCCCUUUCUGACCCUAGAACAAGCUAGGUGUGCAUCCACAGGCACCUUCCUGAUAGGCGUUUCUAGGAUCUUGGCAGCAGUAGAUCUGCUGAAACCUGCUAAGCUGGUUUUCCCUGGUUCCUCAAGCAGUCUGAAUGAUUCUCUAGGCGUGCUUAUUUUCUUUGAGUGUGGGACCAAAUUUGCAUCUAUACACUUUUGACGACUCUAAUGGAGGAGUUGUUUUGCUUUUCAUGGCCAAAAUCAACUAAAGCAAUAUGUUGUCACCUUAGAUUCUAUAUAAGUAGUACAUGCAAGAAUUUGAAUAAGCAACUACAAGAUUGUUUCUUCCAAUCACUGAAAAAGCAAAGAAGGUCAGUGUCAUUAAUGUAAAGAAGUUGCAGCUACCCAACAACACCAAUCUAUUGAGAGAGAUGCAGUCUUUAGGUUCUUCAUCCAAUCAUCAAUCCAAUCUUGUUAAUACUAUGCUUAAUACUUUUGAUAUGACUAUUGGUGAAUAUAAUAGUAUAGAGAUCUAGUUUCUAAUAUUCAAAAUUAUGGUACUCGAGGAAGUAAAUCACUACUUGAGUCAAUUAUUGUUAAUGGUAUUGCAAAAUCAGAUGCUAUCAAACCAUGCAAAAUUAGACAUUCUAAUGUUGUCGGCCAAUAUAGCAAAACUAUGGCUCAGAUAUCUAGAGCCGAAUCUAGUGAAUCCAAAACUAUGGCUCAGACAAUUCAUGGCCUUUCAAAAAGAGCAUAGAGAGUCUAAAUCUAGUACUACUUUUAUACUCAGGGCUCAACAAAAAUAAAUUAUUAAGCACGGCGAGUGUAGGCAAGAGAAAAUUGCAUAAUCUUGUAUGGAUAUCGACAAGAUCUCGAGCGAGAUGAUAAAGGAUUUAUUUUUUGAUGAUGAAGUGAUAAUUGUGAUUUGUCACCAUGCAUGGACAGUGAUCCACAAGGAUGGAGUGCUUCAUGACUAUGAUCCGUCUAUUGACUGUGGCUUGACAUAGUGUUUUGCAUUUGUGAUUGCCUCACAACCGUGGAUGGUAUGUGGGCCUCAACUCUAGUGUGGCAAUGCAUAUGCAUGCAUAUUUGAGGUCAUAGGCUGCUCUCCGAUAUGGGCCAAAGGUGGUUGCAUGUUGUCCAGGCCCUAGAGUUGGGCCCUAAUUAGGUAGAAGUGGAACAGGAAGAAGAUGUUGUGGAAUAAAAAUAGAACAAUUUCUUUAAAGUAUCUGGUAGAAAAAGAGAAGAGAGAAUAGGAUAUAAAAUACUAGGUCAUCAAGAUAAAAAAUGAAAUUACAAAUAAAAAUGUAAAAAAAAUUAAAUGAUUUCAGUUAUCCUCAACCGAACUAUUUAGUUUGAAGCUUCAUUAGGUACUCUUUAGAAUGUACUCCCUUCAUUGGAUAUAUAACUUUUACUGUGCAAUUAGAUAUACAUUAAUUCUGCGUUUUCUGCAUGAGUGCGACUCUACUCCUAGAAACAACAUGUUUAUUUUGGUUUUACUCUGAGGGACAUAUUUUUUAUUUCUAUUCAGUAAGUUAUGGACCAAGCAGGCAACCAGAGGGGGAUGAAUAUGAGCCAAUCAAAAUUUCUUCACCGAGGAAGAAAAACUUCCGACUAUCCCAACACGACCCCAAAGCAAUCAUAAAUAAACCCCAAGUUUUCCAAUGUGAGUCCAAAGGUCAACUAAUGACUAGAUAUACUCAAGAUAGACCCGAUAACACUGCAAAAGAGACAGAAAAGCAAAUUAGCGAAAGACGCUAUAAAGGGGCUCAAAAACAGGACGAAACAACGAAACCACCAAGAAAAACCAGCUCAACCAUUUUUUGGCACUAUUCAUAGGAUGGAUUUGGCACUGUUCAUAAGAUGUUUCUAAGGAUGCCAAAGCUCCGUGAAAAUCCCUCCAGGGUGACCUGUGCGACCUGGGCGACACGAGGAAGAUGGGUGUGAGUGCGACACCAUGCGUGGUCACGCAGUGUGAUGGAGGGUGGUUUUGCCUUGUGUGGACGUGAUGCAUGGACCAAGCUCUCUGCACUCGCUGAAGUAUGCCCCAUGGUGGUCCCUAGGUGAUAAGGAUGCUUCUAGAGUUGGUGUCUUACACGGCAUCCCCUCUUACCUCCACUUUUUGCCACGCCUCUUUGUCUCCCUCUCUCCUCUCUCUCUGCUUCUUCGGCCUUGGGUGAUUUUGUACACUUUCUUAGGACUAGCAGCUCCUCUAUGACCCUGAAGGGGAAGGCAUGGUGGUGAUUCCUCAUGAGGUCAAUGAGCACCCUAAUGCAGAUCUGAGCACUCGUGGUGCGAAGGUUGGGGUUUAAUUUGUAGGGUUGUCAAGGUGGGAGCAGUUGAUUCAUCAUUGCUGAAGCUUCUAGGGCAAGAUCCCUUUGUGGUACUAUUUUGGGAGAGAGGUGGUCGAUGCUAAGUGGAGAUACUUGCUCAUUUGUACAGGAUCUCUAGGCUGCUCCACAGCUUAGGCGAACCAUGGAUACUAGAAAUCCAAACUAUGGAAGGUUUGAUAGGGGAUUUAGGGGAAACAUAGGUGGACAUGGCUGAAAUAGUCAUGGCAACCAUGGAUGGACCCUCAUUGGGGAGAUAUAAAGGUGGUAGGAUUGUGGGCAUCAAGGAAAUCAGUAGAAUAGGGAUAGCAGAGCAAGAGACUAGGCUCACACUAAUACAGAACAGACCUUUGCUUUAACACAUUAGUCUUAGAUAGAAUUGAACCCAGGACUAAUAUGAGCAUUAGUCCCAGGUCCAUGUUUCUUGGGCGCCAAAGGACCUUUAGUCCUAGAUAGUAACACCACACAAACUAAAAGGUCUAUAUUGGUCUCAGUUUGUGUUACAAACCCAGUCUAAAGAGCCUUGAACCUUUAGUCCCAGUUGAUAACACCAGAUAUACUAAUAUAGUAUAUUUAGUUCCGGUUGGUGUUAGCAACCCAGACUAAAGGACCUUUUAGUCCGAGUUGGUGUUACCAAACCAGACUAAAAAUUCCACUUAUAGGUUAGUUCAAAAGGAAAGCAUCCCAACAUAAGUUACAUGUGUUGUGUAGGUACGGUGAAAAGGUACAUGCGAGGCAAUGCAUGAGGUCUGGGUUCGAAUCCCAUGAAGCACGGGGGUGGGUGGCUUUUUUAGCCUCGAGGACCUUUAGUUUGAGUUCAAGGUGCAACAAAAACCUGAGGACCUUUAAUCCUGGGAGUACUAAAAGACUUUUCCAUCCAAGACUAGAGAUCAAUUUUCUACUAGUGUCAACAGGAUGAACAAGGUGGUCAGUAUGUGGAACCUAUAGUGGAUGCUCAUAUUGAUGUGCACGAGGACUCCACUGAUGCUAAAACAUUGGUGAACAUCACUAUCUAGAUAGUUGCUGCCGAUGGAUUGGUGAUGGCUGUCAAGGAAGUGCUAAUAAAGGUACCCAGGCCUAUGAAGUCUAACAUAGAAGUUCCAAGAAGAGGUGCUGAUGGUUGGAGAAAACUCAGCAGAAGUGCCUAGCUAGGGUGGCGAUGGCUAACAGAGAAUUUCCAAGAUAGGUGUCUAGGGUUGGGAAGAACAUAUGUAUUAGUUGUAAUAAAGUUGGAUACACUGCUGAAGGUUGUCGAAAUCCAUUUUUUUGAGAUGAAAGAAGACUUAUAUUAUAUAAAAGCUGGGUACGUUGACAUGUUACAAGCACUUUGUACUACAAUACAAAUAUCCAAAAACUAUUGUUCAUAUAAAUUGUACCCACGCUGUGAAUAGCUCCAAAUCUUAAAACCAAACCUGCAAGAUGCUUUGCAGUAUGGAUUGCAAAGGCAAACACUCGGCAAAAGACCUGAGAACAUAGGCCCAAUGAACGACGGAGAACAUUCAUUUUGGUGCAGUUGAGAAAUUUCUUCUUUUUGAUGUCUCUCUUCUUCUUUCUACCACCGAAGAAUGGGGAAUACUGAUCUAAAACUUAUUAUCCCUAGUCCUUGAUUGUGGCCAAAUCCAAUCACAAUAAAACAGAGAAGUGACCGAAGAAAAUUAUUCCAUGGCAGCAACGCCAUCUCCGCCUUGAUAUCGUUGUCUAGAAAUAAAAGUUUCUAUGUCGUCAUACCAUUGAGGAUGUUGAUGCCAUAGUCAUCGCCCUCAUCUUCAAUAGAGCCGCCAUUGAGAAAACGAUUCUACCCUUCCCCAUCACCGUUGCCAGAGAGGAGGAGGAGAUAAAUAAAUCCCCAAUACCAAAAAACUUAGCAUGGAGAAACCUAACCCUAAGGACUUGAUCUACUGAAAAACUUAUUAAAAAUGAUGGAUCCGCACUCCUUCUAGCUUCCGUUGAUAUGCCAGAGGGAUGAGGGAGGAGAACCAACAAGGUGGAAGCAGGGGGCAGCAGCAGCGGCGGCGGCACUCCGAGUCACAAGAUCGAGGGCGAGGGCAAGUUGAGACAUCAAAAGAUAGGUUUCCUGACUACUUGUGUGGACUGACAACAGAAGGUUGUCCAAAUCUUGUGAUUUGCUCUAGAUGUAAUAAGGAGGGGGCAUGUGCCAACAGUCUGUAUGAUGCCAUGGGAGUUUAUCUCCCCUUUCUGUGGAUUGUCUACUUGUGGGCCAGGUUUCCAUGUGAUUGUAAGUACUUUGUGUCCGAUGAUGGUGUCAAAGACAUGUCUAACACUGCUUUGAUUACCAUCACUGUCAGGAGGCUUAGGAAAUGUGUUCAAGGUAAAAUCUGGGCCAACAUCUACAUGGAGGUGGUAUGUUAAGAGAAUUGGUCACAAUAAGUUCUAAAUGGCGUUCCCAAAUGUUCAAACCACUUAGGAUUUGGCCUUUUCACAGAGAUGCACAUAAGGUAUAUGCCAUUGGUUUUCAAGGUUGAGAAGUGGAACCCUGCUAUUGGUUCCAAUGGAGCCCUGGAUGUGGCUUGGUUCAGGAUCAAGGGGAUUCCAUAUAAGAGAUCCUUUCUUAAUGGGUAUGUUUGGUUGGGUGGCUAACUCCUAACCAUGCUCCAAAGCCAUCUUGUAGUUGUUUGGUUGUCUAGAAACAGGCCGAAGCUAGGCCCAGAUAAGCCAAUUUCAGCCCUAUAGCCUGGCUCUAGAAAAACGCAACUGGUGGUUGUUUUUUCUUGGCCAGGCUCUGGCCAGCCUCCAUGAGGUUCACAUCACUGCACGGCCCUCCGCACUGUCCAAAGUGUCGGUUGCCGUCUUCCUUCUACAUGGUCGGGAUGAGCUGCGAGGCGAGCAAGGCGUCAACAAAGAGGACCUCAUUGCCGAUGGAGACGGAAGAGAUGGCUGAUGAUGAGGCAGGCAGGCGUGCGGCGACCCAGGUUGCGGCAUUGGCCGGAGAGGUUUGCGAUGUCGCCGCUGGUGGCGCACAGGAGGGAGAUGCCUUUCACGAGCCUUCCUUCAGUCCUUGGCAAGCUCCUUCGUCCCCUCCUCACCACUCGACCUCGCGCACAGCAGCAGCAAGCCUAGGGGCCCGCAUCAGCAACCGCCCUACGAGCAGGCUCUUGGCCCACCGAGGCGUCUGCGGCUCUCGCUCGACGGGGCGUCUGCCCCUCCUCCUCCCGCUGUUGGGCCGUUUGUCUCACGCGUCGUCCGCCGGUCGUUCGAAGGAGACGAGGCCGCCGUGGUGGUUGAGAAUCCCGUCUCCAGGAACGACCACCACCCGGUGGCAGCUUCGACGGACGUGGAGGCCAUGGCAGCGCCAUAUGACCCCAAGACGAAUUACCUCUCCCCAAGGCCUCGUUACCUGUGCUAUCAGCCCAACCGCCUCCUCGAGAUUUACCGUCAUGGCGGUGGUGCGGUGCGGGGGCUCGAGGAAAGAUUGGCAGUGCUGCCUACUAUGUGCUUAGAAGGUGUUCGAUGAAUUGCUUCUCUAGGGUGAACUUACCAGUGUGUUCAGGUGUGAUGGUUCUAUGAAAGAAACACAACCAACCAAACAAGAACUAAACUUAGCCAUCUUUGCACACAACCAAACACAUGCCUGUUGGCUCCCUAGGAGCAGGCCUGGGCUGCCUAGGCUACAUUUGCUAGCCAGGCUCUAUGAGACCUACGUUACAUGGAUACGUCACUGGGACCUCGUAUCGCGUAUCGGAUACGUAUCCGAUACGAAUACGCGUCGGAUACGCCGCCGAUACGUGUCCGCAGAGUAUCCGUUUUUUCUUUUUUUCACGAAUAUUGGAUACGUGGUCUGAUACGUAUCCUCAUCACCGAUACGGCCCAGCUGAACAAAAGUACCUUAUCCUGUCCCCGACGCCAUGGCCGGCUGGCCUCUCGAUUCCCGCACGCCUCGCGCCGCAACCCUGCGCCUCGCCCGCAUCCCGCCGCAUCCUGUGCGCCAGCCGCCGGCGACUGGCUACGAGCCUCUGCCUCUUCGCUCGCCGUCGACGAGCCUCCGUCCUGGCUCGCCGGCUGCCAGCGACGAGUUUCCGCACCUGCAACGUGCCCAUGCCCCCUCACGCCGCAUCCUGUCCACUCGUCCCCAGUCCCCACGCGCGGCGCCCUGGGGAGCACCUACCAGUCCGCUACAGAUGCGGCUAGCUCCCACGAUGCAGGGGGGAGAUGCAUGGAAGAGGACGAUUCGGAACUCAACAGCGAAGCUAGCUUCCGCCGAUCUCCCAUGAGUACACUCCCUUUCCAUUCUUGAUGUACUUUACUUCUCUACUUGUUGCUUCCAUCUAGAUGGCCUCUGCAAAUUUCAGCAGUGCUGACGCAACAUGCAAGUGCUAGUCCUAGUCCGCUAGUCGUAGCAUAGGAUCCACUGGCCACAAUCAUAACAGAUACAAUCCUGUUUCCUGACUUCACUCUCCUCAUCUCUUGUGAAAUUAAGAAACCUACAAGCUGAUCUGGUGAUGUAUCAUAUAUGAUUGUAUGUACUAUAAACUAAGAAUUAGUGAUUACUAAAAUUCUACACUUCCACAAUUUUAGUUUACAUUAUUAUUUAUUUUAUUUAUUAAAAAAAAGUAAAACGUAUCCGCGUAUCAUGUUUUUUGAGAAAUUUCCGUAUCCGCGUAUCCGUAUCCUUCCGAUACCGAUACGCGUAUCCGUAUCUGUGCUGCAUAGUAUGAGACCAACAAACCAAACAGACCCAAUGUGUGCAUGGUGGCCUCCAAGGUGGGACUGGCUCUAGAGGUUGACAGGGAAAAUCUGAAUAGAUAUGAGUAUGUCAAAGUUAAAAUUGGUUAUAAGGAUGUCACCAAUUAAGGUUCCUACCAAGGUUGAUGGUUUACUGGAUUUCAACUUCUUUGGUUAUUUCUUUCAAAGAUUCCUAUCAUUUCUAUGGUUUACUGCUUCUAACUAGAGACAACUUAAGUCUUAGGAGAAAGGUUGAAGAUCAGUCUUGUUUGUUUAGUUCUGAGGCUGAAUCAGUUAACCAUUUGUAUUUCUGAGUGUGUGGUAGCUAGACACAAUUGUGGAAUUUUACAUCUGAGGUUUUGGAUAUACAUGUGGGGAUGUAUUUUGUUUACUAUGCGGCUGACAAAUAGGAAAUUUUUGGAAGUGCUGCUGCUCUGUGGGGUCUAAGGAACUGAGAAAUAGUUUGUGCUUUCAGGUGCUUCUAUGGAAGGACGGGCGUGUGCUGUUACUAAUGGUAAUAGUAGCCAUGCUUCAAAGCUGGACUGUCCUUUGUCCAAAAGAGAUGAUGCAGGUGUUUUUGAUGCCUUUGGACAAAUUGAAGUAUCUAUCAACAAGGCCUCACAGGUUACCUUGUUGAAUCUAAUGAGUAACAAGGGGGAGCAUUUCCUUUACCAAACUGGGCCUGAUUGGAAGAAAGUAGUUGUACCUGAAGAAGCAAAAGCUCUGUUUUUGGAAGGCGACAACUUGGAGAAGGUAGUGAUGGAAAGGAAAUGGAAUAAUCUAUCUGAUGAUGGCGAGGCCUGGGGAAUGUAAUGUGGGCUUUAGUUUCAGUUUCGUUUUGCAACUAUAGUUUCUCCGUGGUGGGUGUGUUUGUUUUACACUGUCGGUUUGGUAUCUUGAUGUAUUGAAUGCUUUAACUGAUGGGCUUUGGGAUAUAAAGGCCCGGGCUAUGCCCAUUAUCUCUAAACAACCAUCUGUUUCUGUGUUUUCUGCAUGGGUGUGGCUGCACCUUCUACACUGUGUGUAGCUCUGCCCCUAGAAACAGCAAGUUUAUUUCGGUUUUACUCCCACUGUUUUAUUUUUAUUUCUAUUUGGUGAGAUAGAUACUCGUGUUUUGUCAUUAGGUGGUAACUGAACGGGAAACGUAACACGGCCGAGUAGAAUAGUUAGUGUUUCAUUCUUUUUAGCUUUGAGUUUGAAUUAGCUAGAUGGAAGCACAAUGUUGAGAGGAUGAGUACAAUGGACAUUAUUAUGCUAUUUAAAGUUAAUUAGUAAAGUAGUACAAAAAGAAAAGAGAAGAACAUGAAAUGUUAGAAGUAGAAAUAGAGAUAGCGAUAGGGAUAGGGAUAGGGAUAGGGAUAGGGAUAGGGAUAGAGAUAGGGAUAAGGAUAGGCAUAUGGAUAGAGAUAUCUCUUCGUGUAUGUAUAUAUAUGUACAUGUAUAUUAUAAUUAUAGACAUAUAGCACUCCUCCAAAGUCCAAAAACAGCAAUGUUGUCGUCCUUCAACAAGAAUCUAUUGGUCGCUGGGUUCACCUUGGCAUUGCUCAUCGCCGCGUCGCAUCGUAAGUCCCAGAGAAUAACACUAAUAUAUUCAUCGUAGUAGAUUGUUCUUGGAAAAAAACUCCAUAUCAAACUUGUUGUGGCUGAAUGCAUGGAUGCAGGCGCGACAGCACUUGAGGAGAGGACGGGGAUCAUGUGCACGUCUGACCAGAUGUGCAAGUCCAUCUGCCUGCAGAGGGGCUACACCGGCGGCUACUGCUCCAGGAAGCACGUCGUGGGCGACCCCUCGUGCGUGUGCACCAAGCCAAGCCCUGCACAAUCGAUAACGGCAGCUCCGGCGGAGAAGCAGCUGGCUGGCAACGGAGAUGCCGGCGGGAUGGGAAUGGCCAACUGAUCAAACGCCCCGCCGGAUUUUCGCUAUGUAUGUAGGAGGCAUAUCGAGCAUUGAAAAUUAGGACUUAUGAUCCACCGAUCAGCUCAUAUGUCUAGCCAAUCAUAUCCGAAUAAAUUCGACCAUUUUAAUUUUUCUAAAUACAUACUCCCUUGUCCCAAAAUGAAUUAACUUCAGACAUCGGUUUAUAUUUUGUUAAGGAGUAGUUUUUUCUAUACGUGCACAUAGCGUAUAUAUGAUCAAGGUAAAUAUAGUGAGGUGUGAGGCGAGGGGAUGCAAGGUUUAGAUUGGUGGCUUGGUUUUGUAUGAGAAAAGUACGAUUAUAUGUGUUUUUGUUUGUACUUUGUUCUAGUAUAUUUUAUCCGCUCAAGAAAGUCACAUAAAAGCAACUUAAAAAGACUCUCUAUAUCCUUCCUAAUUUAUUGGAAUAGAGAUUUUAGUAAACAAAUACCGUCCAACAACCUCAUUAAUUAGAUCUCCAAAUAUAGACGUCCUCUAUUUCAGAUUUCUCGCUAGCGAGGAUGGCUCUCUAGAGUGCGUAAAGAUAUAGAAAAUCUGUUGUAGUCUACAAAGAUAUAGAAAGCGAUUUUUUUACUCAGUUGGCUCUAUAAAUUAUUUGACUUAGAGAGUAAAUUUUAGAAAGAUUCGUGGAGAUACUCUAUGUGCAGGAUGACAAUCUCAUUAAAUAUUUAUGUUAUGGACUAAGAAAACCAUAAAAGACAAGAGCCGAAGCCGAUAUGGAUUAGGUAUUGCCGUAUUGUGUGUCUGUUUGGGACUGCAGCAUGGUGACUGCAUGGUGGGAUAUAGCACUACGGCGUCCGCCCCACUGCAUGGUAAGUGCGAGUGCUACUUCAGUCUCAUGGUCCCUUGCCUUCGUUGUAGUGGAAAGGACCAUAGGUGCCACAAGAUGUUUGGUACUCCCUCCAUCCCAAAUUAUAAGACAUUGAAGGAUUCUGGAGAGUCAAAACCUCCCUGGGAGGCAUUUCUAGAAUCUUUGCCGUGGUAGAUCUGCUGAAACCAGCUAAUAAGCUGGUUUUCCCUACUUCCUUGAGCAGUCUGAAUGAUUCUCGUGUGAUCUAGGCGUGCUUUUUCCUUUAGUAUGGGACCAAAUUUGCAUCAACUAAUGCAAUAUGUUGUCAAUAUGCUAUAUAAGUAGUACAUGCAAGGAUUUGAUUAAGCAACUACAAGAUUGUUUCUGUCCUAUCACCGGAAAAGCAAAGAUGGCCAGUGUUGUUGAUGUAAAGAAGUUGCAGCCACCUGACAACACCAAUGUAUUUAGGGAGAUGCGGUCUUCAGGUACUUUAUCCAGUCAUCAAUCCAAUAAUUUUAAUACUAUGCUUAAGACUAUUGGUGAAUGUAAUAGUAUAGAGAUCUAGUUUCUAAUAUUCAAAAUUACGGUACUCGAGGAAGUAAAUCAGUAGAAGAGUCGAUUAUUGUUAACGUUAAUGCAAAAUCAGAUGCUAUUGAACCAUUAACAAAUACACAUUCUAAUGUUGUUGGCCAAUAUAGCAAAACUAUGGCUGAGACAUCUAGAGCUGAAUCUAGUGAAUCCAAAACAUGCUAAGACAAUUCAAAGCCUUUCAAAAAGAACAUAGAGAGUCUAAAUCUUGUAUUACAUUUAUACUCAGGGCCCAACAACAAUAAAGGAUUAAGCACUAGGAGUGUAGGAAAGAGAAACAAGGCAUAAUCUUGGAUGGUACAGACAAGAUCUCGGACGAGAUGAUAAAAGAUUGUUUUGACGAUGAAGUGAUAAUUAUGAUUUGUUGCCAUGGACAGUGAUCCACACGGAUCUAUUGCCUCAAGACUGUGAUCCGUCUAUUGACUGUCGCUUGAGGUAGAGUUUUGGAUAUGUGAUUGGCUCACGACAGUGGAUGGUAUGUGGGCCUCAACUAUAGUGUGACAAUGCAUAUGCAUGUAACAUACUGUAUAUUUGAGGUCAUAGGCUGCUCUCUAAUAUGGGCCAAAGGUUGUCGCAUGUCCUGUCCUGCCCUUAGAGUUGGGCCCUGAUUAGGUAGAACUGGAACAGCAAGAAGCUGUUGAGGAAUAGGAUGGGAACCAUUUCUUUAAAAUAUACGGAAGAAAGAGAGAAGAGAGAAAAAGAGAUAAAAGUAUGGGCCAGGCCAUUAAGAUAAAAAAAUGUAUUUACUAAUUUCAAAUGUGAAAGAAUAAAUGAUUUCAGUUGUCCUCGGCCAAACCAUUUAAUUUGAAGCUUCAUUAGAUACUCUAUAGAAUGUAUUCCCUUCAUUAAAAAUUGGUCAUUCUAGCCUUUAUAGAUAUAUAAUUUUACUAUGCAAUUAGAUAUACAUUAUGUCUCGAUAAAUGGUAAAAUCUGUGUCUCUAAAGAAGACAGUAUGGCUUGAUUUGAAUUUGGAAUACUCCUUAUUAGACGAUAGAUAUUAAUACUCUGUCUCAUAAACUUGAUUAAACUAAGACUGGUUUAACUUAGAAUAAAUGAAAAUCCCUUAUAUAUCUCAGGAUGGAGAUUAUUACUAGAUAGAUAUUAAUACUCUUUCUCAUAAACUUGAUUAAACUAGGAAUGGUUUAACUUAGCAUAACUGAAGAUCCUUAAUAUUUCAGGACGGAGGUCACCAUAUUCAAUGGUCGAAUUAAUAGCUGGUACAAUGAUUUUUCACCACACUUAUUGGUGGCAUAUAUUGCCGUGACAAUGAUUUCUAUCACUAAUUGGCUAGUGGGGAAACCAUUAACUUCUAACUAAAACUAUAUCUAUACAUCUAUUUCUUUUCUAUAUAGCUCUAUCUCCUUUUAACGCUGUUCACUAUAAAUAUCAAACACAUCCUCUUUGUUCGUACACAUGUACUAGCGUUAGCUCCACAAGUGACCAUGUCGAUGAACAGGAAACAUUUGGUCGCUGGCUUCUUCUUCAUCAACUUGACCUUGCUCAUGGCAUCAUAUUGUGAGUUCCCAGCAGGACACGAGUUAGCUAGCUAAUAUAUUAUUGCUUCGGAAUCUCCAAAUGAACAACCUUAAUUUAAUUUUGUGGUUGCAUGCAGGCUCAGCAGCACUCUGCGGAACGAGGACCAAGUAUACUUGCACGGUCGACAAGAUGUGUGAGAUGAUCUGCCAGCAAGUGAACUGCGACCAACAGAACUGCGGCUACACCGGUGGCCACUGCUCCGACGACUCAUUAUGUGUAUGCACCAAACCCUGCAGUGCGCAAUCAACCAUGGCUCCACCGGGGGAGAAGCCGGCAGUGGAAGAGGCAUACGGUAGGAUGGCGCUGGAUGAGAAUAGAAUGCUCAAUUCAUAAAGUAGGAGGCAUCGAGCAGUGUAUAGUAGAACAUUGCGAUGCUUGGGUCGAUAUUCUCUUGUUCUGAUAAUUGCAUGCAAAAAUUUGAAGUGAAUAAAGGUCCGUUUGGCAGGGAUCGAUAUUGUCUUAGAAAUGUUUCAGAUCCAUGUUCUCUGAAGAAAUGUUUCAGUUGAUUAAUCAGAAUGACUUUAUGAAGUCAUUUGGCUGGUAGGUUGGAUUCUAAUUCCAAAAAUUAAAUAGAAAUAGAAUCCAGCGGAACCAGCCCAGGAAAAAAACCGCAGAACCAGCUGAAACUCUGAACCUGGCUUCCAAACGGUCCCUAAGUCAUGUGCUCCUGCAUGGUCCCUAAAAUAAUCUUAGGCUCCAUUUUGAUCCUUGGAAUUGAAUCCAUUUUAAUAUACUAUAAUUUAUGCACAUAUUAGAAGCUAAUAUGGUUGUUUUGGAAUAUAUUUGUAUACUAUUGUUAACCAUGCAAGAGUGAUGCUUAUAUGUUGCGUUUGUACUAUAGCGAAGUGAGUUGAAAAGUGUGCUAUAAGUUGGAGAAUAGAAACAUAGAAUGGUGAUCUAUCAAAUCAAUUUCUGUCUCCCACCCUAUGAGUUUGAGAUAGACUUAUAUGUGAACUUUGAAAAGUUAUGGAAUCUCAAAUUCCAAACCAAAUAGUCUAAUCUCAAAUUCCUCUAAAAUGAAGGGAUCCAAAUGGUCCCUUAAUUAAGGGACAUAGAUAUUAAAUUUGUUCUUAGUGUGUGCAACUAAGUAAAGUUACUUAUGUGUUCGCCCCCCCCCCCCCCCAAUUUGUGAUUUUUCUAAUGUGUGAUCCCAAUACAUUUACUCUGUAAUCCCCCUCAAUUUGUGUUAUGGAGGAGGUUUGGAAUUGCUCCCUGACAAACAAACAAAAUUCUGUGUUUACGUGGAAACAAAGUAGGGAACCCUUGUUUUUCUUUCUGUGGACAUUUUUAAGUCCUGAAGGAAAAUGACAGUGCAGUUAGUGUCACCUGGACAAAUGUUGGAGGAUCAGUAGAGAUACCAUCAAGGUAGAUCUUGAUGCUGACCACUACCUGAAAGAAGAAAAAGAGGUGUACGCAUUUUGCAUGGUACCUUCACUUAAUUCCUCAAUCACAAUAAUGGCUUUGCCAUUAGCCAGUCAUGUUAGCACCUCUGGCAUUUAGCUAAAUAAAUGAAAUGCAAGCCCUUUCCACUACUGAUUAUAACAUAACCAAUGACGAAGCAAGAGAUGUGAAAGAAUUAACCUUAGUAUUCUGAAACACACCAUUAGGAUCAUUGGUAACAAUAUCCAAGCCACCAUCCAGGCACGGCCCAUCUCUUUGAUAUGGACCCCAGUGUGAACACUGGAGCCACUGCCCCAAACAAAACCCGUCGGUAUAAAUUCCCUCUCACCAAAUGUCAAGUGUGCAUAUACCUCAUCUGUUAUAUAUAACAAAUAUGCCAAGGUUCCAUGCAGUCUCAGCAACCUAGAAAAUCAUUUACUGAAACUAGGCGUUCAGAUUAUUCCCCAAGAGCUCAUCAACUAUUGCAGAACAAUGAACCGUUAAAACUUACCUUAGCUAGGUGCUCAUAUGAGUACACAUUGCCACAAGGAUUUCCUCGUGGCAAUAUGUGUUCUUGUCAGCAUGAGCAUGUACAACCUACCAGUCUUUCUCAGGUAGAAGAUCGAAGUAA
Molecule: long non-coding RNA, 36046 nt
Filed under: Sorghum bicolor (sorghum)
Lineage: Eukaryota; Viridiplantae; Streptophyta; Magnoliopsida; Poales; Poaceae
Description: long non-coding RNA (SBIC_LNC009383)
Source: RNAcentral